GAAGAUGGGCAUAUUCGGGUCGGCCCUUCGUGAGUUAGGGCCGCCUAAGUGCUUUAAGGUCUUUUGGGGAUAUUUACGGCAAAAAAAAACGUUGGAAAUGUAAAUGAAACGGCAAAAGAUACGUAAUGUCGAUACCGAUCCAGGAAAAAAAAAAUUUAUUAAAAGUG
Bradysia coprophila is the source of this 167-nucleotide long non-coding RNA. The record is from RefSeq and is a predicted model, not a curated record. Lineage: Eukaryota; Metazoa; Arthropoda; Insecta; Diptera; Sciaridae.